CAGCUACCUUUGUUCUCAUAGAUAUGAAUGAGUAGAUAGGACACGCCCCUUUGAGCUGCGUGCUACAGCGAGGCUAAGCUAGUGGGGGCAAAGUGUCAGUGCAUUCCGUUGAUGUAGACGGCGUGAAAACGGAAACAACAAGUAUGCCGUCUCACUGUGCUGCAUACAAUUACACACUACGUCGUACGAUUGAGACAAGGAAACGUGGAAUGACUUUUCAUAGGUUUCCCAGAGACUAUGGGUUGAGGAGGAAGUGGAAGUUUGUUGGCUUAGACCUGGUGUCAUUCCAUCAGUGUUAAACUUCCCGGCUCAUCUUGGAAGAGUACGUGCCAGAAAGACCACAACCAAGCAGCCUUGAGAUCUUAGGCAGCGUCUCCCUGAGGUCCCUCUCUAUCUCCCCACACAUCCACCAACCACUGGAACACAUCUCCAAAGUUCUACUGGACCAGCUCAGCUUCCCCUCAGAAGAAGUACCGCCACCUGCCAGAUGGAGGAGCCUUUUGAGAGGCAGCUGGCAUCGUGAUUGGACUGUACUUUGGUCUGUUCCAAUCCAGCUUCAGCUCCAGAGACGGCAGGCGGGACGAGUCAACGGAGGCCUGAUGGACGAAGGCAUGAAGCUGAGUACAAUCCAGAAAACAACAGAGGAGGAGUGCAGCAGCCCAGGACCAGAACAACCAGAGUAGCAUGACCAAAGAACUACAGACUCUUCACAACCUGCUCAAACUCUUGGUACAGGAUCUCACCACACGAGUCAAGAAGGUUUCUGUCUCAUUUCUACUCUGAAGCUCACCUUCUCCUGCUCAAGCUGAUGACAAAUGUUUCUGCUGCUCUAAAGUCUGCUCUCCAGAACUUCCUAAAAACUCUCAAAGUCUCUUCUGCUGCAGGUUGCUAUGUAGAACUGUUGCAGAAAACCUCACUAAACCACAUGGAGGGGCCUCAAGAUAGUCAUCCAAAUGAAACCAUACAAAAACCAAACUAGCACAACCCAAACGCUAAAGUCUCCUGCAGCCUACCAGAGAACCUCUGAGAACAGAGAAUCAGGACAGGAACUCUUACCUUCUGGACAACCAACGUUGGUUCACAAACAAGAAUACAGAAUGUGUCUGACCAAAAACCUCUGAAGACUCACUACAACCAAGAUAAAGACACAACUCAGCUGCACCAAAUCCACUAAUCACUACAAACAUUAGCACCAUGUGCUAACUGUGGCUAAAGAACCACAUUUACCAAGACAACUAUCCAGUACAAAGCCCUAAAACACACCAAGAAACACAUUAAAGACGAUUUUACUGCUGGAAGCUGCAAGCCAACGCCUAAACAACAAACUAAAGCAAUGGAGCCAAACCCAGUUCACUGGUGAACAGAAGCAGAGGAAAUGUUUGUCUGCAGCUAAAUAAAGCAGGAAGACACUGAGCUGCUCAGGUGUUCCUGGUAACACCAAGCUGCUCAGGUGUUCCUGAUAACACCAAGCAGCCACCUGGACAGCCAAUAGGAACACAGCUUCCUGGAAGUCCAGAGGGCUGGCUUAGUGAAGGAAAUUUAGUUUAAAGUUGAAGCAGAAAGUUAACAAAGAAAGUUAAAAACCACCUUCUGAUACCUGAAAUCUCUGAGUUUUCACACAAAGAACACCUGAACAUGUCAAACUGGUUCCAUAGUAGAACCAUCAUUGUAAAAACAUCAUAGUAUGGUGUGUUGCUCAAACAACAUUAGGACCCGGCUGUCAGGGGACAAACAUGUAAGAAACAUGAGAACAGAGAGAACCCAACCAGUAGGUCACAGUUUAUCAUCAUCUAAUCAUCUCCUGAAGUCCAUAUGGUGAGAGACAUCAGUAUCUGGUUGUUAAUUUACCAGAGGAUGCUUAUAAUCAUGCUGAUGUGGUCUGUACUCUACAGUAUUUUAGUGACUCAAUAAAUGCCUAAGUUGUUUUUUUUAAAAUGCUUUUUAGUUUUUAAUAAACAUUUAACAGCCUAUAUUUAAUCAAUAAAUGACCUUUGCCUAUCUUAAGAAAAAUUCACUCAGAACUCUGAUAUGUUAACAGUACUAAAUAAAUCAAUAAAUACAUGCAUACACACAUAAAUAAGUUAAUACAUUAACUGUGUUAAGAUAAGAUUUAGAUUUUUAAAAUGUUGUUUAUGUUUUUGCAGAAUCCAGUAUUGCUCACUGGUUGGUCAUUACAUUUUAUUAGUUUGAUUUCACUGUUUAAAAUGAUGCCACCUCUUUUCAGACAGAACCUGUGAUAAUAAAACAAUACAAAAUUUUUAGUUCCGUGUUAAUAAAGCACUUAAAGCUUUAAGUAUGGCUAAAUGCUUUUUUCAAAAUUAAAUAUAUCACUCCUUAGGUGGUAGUGGCCCCAAGUUCAGUAAAGUUGGAAAGAUAUUCACAGAUUGGGACUUCCAGCAUCAAUAACUCAUUAGAUAUAGGUUGUCAAAACAUAAACGGUGCCUCUUUCCCAUUGUUGCAAGGCAGACAAUGUGCUACAAGCCCAGUUUUAUCAAAAGUAGCUGUCUUUCAAGCUACAGGAAUAACAUUGGUGUCUAUGGAGUGAACAGGGUCCGUCUGCAAUUUGCAAAACCGCUGCAACAGUAAAGAGAGACAAAUAUUCAAUAACUUCACUCUGAUACAUUGUAGUGUCACUAAAAUCACUGCAGCCUUCAACUGGCUCCUGUUGACAAAGUGUUUUAACAGAAAUGUAAAUGCUGUAAUUUGAUUCUUUUAAUGAACCAUGUAACUUGAAUGGAUGUGAUGCUGGUGUGACCACAGUGCACACGUCUGAUGUUGCUCACAGUGGUCCAAGGGACGCUCAGGGAGUUUGUGUGUUUGCUCAGACUCAGGAAAAAUUACAGGGAACAUUGUUGUCAUCUAUCCCUAACUGUACAUUUAUCUAUGUUUAUUAUCUUAGAAUGAACAGUAUGGACAAAAUGUUUAUACUGUAACAUUCUUUUUAUACUUAGACUGUAUACAGUGCACUUUAUUGCAUCUUUAGCACUUUUGGUUAGAUUCAAAACUGCAUUUUGUUGUCUUAGAAUGUGUUGUCUGACAUUAAAGUUAAAUCUAAAGUGUGAAAAAAAGUUGCCUUAAAUUCAAAUGUCUUUUUAAAAAUAAUUAUUUUUAAAAAAGGGGAAAAAACAACUCCUCAUUUGCUUAAGUGCUUCUGUAGAAGGUAACCGGACUUCCUUAUUAGGUUUCAAGAACCAAAGAUGUUGCCUUCUGAGGAAGCUCUUAAGAUUAUAAUGACUUGGAUGACUGAGAGUUCAACUUGCUGUGCUGAUAAAGAAUCUACAUGUUUACUUUUCAUUCAAAAUAAAUGCAAAACAUUUCUGGGAUGCAUCUGAUUUAGCUCUAAUGUUGCGUCACAGACCAUCUUAUGCUGUCUAACCCUCUGGAGCUUUCUUCUGCUUGGCAUCAAACUCCUUUCACUCUCCAGUACUGGCCUCAGAUUCUCCUGUUUCAUGUAAUGCAGGCCAUUGGCCCCGACAGAGGCAGGCCUUAGAUAACACAAACUGGUCAUUUCCCAAGAAGAUUGUGGGCUAGCUGACGUCAGAGGGUCAACCCGGGCAGUGGAGCUCAUUUUAGAUACAAAUUCAGACACAGAAAAAGUAACUUGGUCAACAGGAACUGCUGUUAUGAGCCAGGACUUGUUUUUUUCCCUCUUAAGUUGCAUAAAACUUGAAUUUUUUUUUGCCUUUUCCAACAUCA
This is a long non-coding RNA of Amphiprion ocellaris (clown anemonefish), 3696 nucleotides long. RefSeq lists it as uncharacterized. The record is from RefSeq and is a predicted model, not a curated record. The transcript has 4 exons. Lineage: Eukaryota; Metazoa; Chordata; Actinopteri; Pomacentridae.